This 482-nucleotide ribosomal RNA is filed under the name uncultured bacterium. RNAcentral describes it as "partial 16S ribosomal RNA". It matches the Rfam family "Bacterial small subunit ribosomal RNA", at positions 30 to 507 of the family's 1533-position model. The record is from RNAcentral.
AUUGAACGCUGGCGGCAUGCUUUACACAUGCAAGUCGAACGGUAACAGGCCGCAAGGUGCUGACGAGUGGCGAACGGGUGAGUAAUGCAUCGGAACGUGCCCAGUCGUGGGGGAUAACUACUCGAAAGAGUAGCUAAUACCGCAUACGAUCUAUGGAUGAAAGCGGGGGACCGUAAGGCCUCGCGCGAUUGGAGCGGCCGAUGUCAGAUUAGGUAGUUGGUGGGGUAAAGGCUCACCAAGCCAACGAUCUGUAGCUGGUCUGAGAGGACGACCAGCCACACUGGGACUGAGACACGACCCAGACUCCUACGGGAGGCAGCAGUGGGGAAUUUUGGACAAUGGGCGCAAGCCUGAUCCAGCAAUGCCGCGUGCAGGAAGAAGGCCUUCGGGUUGUAAACUGCUUUUGUACGGAACGAAACGGCUCUGGUUAAUACCCGGGGCUAAUGACGGUACCGGAAGAAUAAGCACCGGCUAACUACGUG